GACGAACGCUGGCGGCGUGCUUAACACAUGCAAGUCGAACGGAAAGGCCCUGCUUUUGUGGGGUGCUCGAGUGGCGAACGGGUGAGUAACACGUGAGUAACCUGCCCUUGACUUUGGGAUAACUUCAGGAAACGGGGGCUAAUACCGGAUAGGAGCUCCUGCUGCAUGGUGGGGGUUGGAAAGUUUCGGCGGUUGGGGAUGGACUCGCGGCUUAUCAGCUUGUUGGUGGGGUAGUGGCUUACCAAGGCUUUGACGGGUAGCCGGCCUGAGAGGGUGACCGGCCACAUUGGGACUGAGAUACGGCCCAGACUCCUACGGGAGGCAGCAGUGGGGAAUAUUGCACAAUGGGCGGAAGCCUGAUGCAGCAACGCCGCGUGCGGGAUGACGGCCUUCGGGUUGUAAACCGCUUUCGCCUGUGACGAAGCGUGAGUGACGGUAAUGGGUAAAGAAGCACCGGCUAACUACGUG
This 468-nucleotide ribosomal RNA is filed under the name uncultured bacterium. RNAcentral describes it as "partial 16S ribosomal RNA". It matches the Rfam family "Bacterial small subunit ribosomal RNA", at positions 28 to 507 of the family's 1533-position model. The record is from RNAcentral.